UUAAGCGACUAAGCGUACACGGUGGAUGCCCUGGCAGUCAGAGGCGAUGAAGGACGUGCUAAUCUGCGAUAAGCGUCGGUAAGGUGAUAUGAACCGUUAUAACCGGCGAUUUCCGAAUGGGGAAACCCAGUGUGNNCACACUAUCAUUAACUGAAUCCAUAGGUUAAUGAGGCGAACCGGGGGAACUGAAACAUCUAAGUACCCCGAGGAAAAGAAAUCAACCGAGAUUCCCCCAGUAGCGGCGAGCGAACGGGGAGCAGCCCAGAGCCUGAAUCAGUAUGUGUGUUAGUGGAAGCGUCUGGAAAGGCGCGCGAUACAGGGUGACAGCCCCGUACACAAAAAUGCACAUAUUGUGAGCUCGAUGAGUAGGGCGGGACACGUGGUAUCCUGUCUGAAUAUGGGGGGACCAUCCUCCAAGGCUAAAUACUCCUGACUGACCGAUAGUGAACCAGUACCGUGAGGGAAAGGCGAAAAGAACCCCGGCGAGGGGAGUGAAAAAGAACCUGAAACCGUGUACGUACAAGCAGUGGGAGCACGCUUAGGCGUGUGACUGCGUACCUUUUGUAUAAUGGGUCAGCGACUUAUAUUCUGUAGCAAGGUUAACCGAAUAGGGGAGCCGAAGGGAAACCGAGUCUUAACUGGGCGUUAAGUUGCAGGGUAUAGACCCGAAACCCGGUGAUCUAGCCAUGGGCAGGUUGAAGGUUGGGUAACACUAACUGGAGGACCGAACCGACUAAUGUUGAAAAAUUAGCGGAUGACUUGUGGCUGGGGGUGAAAGGCCAAUCAAACCGGGAGAUAGCUGGUUCUCCCCGAAAGCUAUUUAGGUAGCGCCUCGUGAAUUCAUCUCCGGGGGUAGAGCACUGUUUCGGCAAGGGGGUCAUCCCGACUUACCAACCCGAUGCAAACUGCGAAUACCGGAGAAUGUUAUCACGGGAGACACACGGCGGGUGCUAACGUCCGUCGUGAAGAGGGAAACAACCCAGACCGCCAGCUAAGGUCCCAAAGUCAUGGUUAAGUGGGAAACGAUGUGGGAAGGCCCAGACAGCCAGGAUGUUGGCUUAGAAGCAGCCAUCAUUUAAAGAAAGCGUAAUAGCUCACUGGUCGAGUCGGCCUGCGCGGAAGAUGUAACGGGGCUAAACCAUGCACCGAAGCUGCGGCAGCGACGCUGAUGCGUUGUUGGGUAGGGGAGCGUUCUGUAAGCCUGCGAAGGUGUGCUGUGAGGCAUGCUGGAGGUAUCAGAAGUGCGAAUGCUGACAUAAGUAACGAUAAAGCGGGUGAAAAGCCCGCUCGCCGGAAGACCAAGGGUUCCUGUCCAACGUUAAUCGGGGCAGGGUGAGUCGACCCCUAAGGCGAGGCCGAAAGGCGUAGUCGAUGGGAAACAGGUUAAUAUUCCUGUACUUGGUGUUACUGCGAAGGGGGGACGGAGAAGGCUAUGUUGGCCGGGCGACGGUUGUCCCGGUUUAAGCGUGUAGGCUGGUUUUCCAGGCAAAUCCGGAAAAUCAAGGCUGAGGCGUGAUGACGAGGCACUACGGUGCUGAAGCAACAAAUGCCCUGCUUCCAGGAAAAGCCUCUAAGCAUCAGGUAACAUCAAAUCGUACCCCAAACCGACACAGGUGGUCAGGUAGAGAAUACCAAGGCGCUUGAGAGAACUCGGGUGAAGGAACUAGGCAAAAUGGUGCCGUAACUUCGGGAGAAGGCACGCUGAUAUGUAGGUGAAGUCCCUUGCGGAUGGAGCUGAAAUCAGUCGAAGAUACCAGCUGGCUGCAACUGUUUAUUAAAAACACAGCACUGUGCAAACACGAAAGUGGACGUAUACGGUGUGACGCCUGCCCGGUGCCGGAAGGUUAAUUGAUGGGGUCAGCGCAAGCGAAGCUCUUGAUCGAAGCCCCGGUAAACGGCGGCCGUAACUAUAACGGUCCUAAGGUAGCGAAAUUCCUUGUCGGGUAAGUUCCGACCUGCACGAAUGGCGUAAUGAUGGCCAGGCUGUCUCCACCCGAGACUCAGUGAAAUUGAACUCGCUGUGAAGAUGCAGUGUACCCGCGGCAAGACGGAAAGACCCCGUGAACCUUUACUAUAGCUUGACACUGAACAUUGAGCCUUGAUGUGUAGGAUAGGUGGGAGGCUUUGAAGUGUGGACGCCAGUCUGCAUGGAGCCGACCUUGAAAUACCACCCUUUAAUGUUUGAUGUUCUAACGUUGACCCGUAAUCCGGGUUGCGGACAGUGUCUGGUGGGUAGUUUGACUGGGGCGGUCUCCUCCUAAAGAGUAACGGAGGAGCACGAAGGUUGGCUAAUCCUGGUCGGACAUCAGGAGGUUAGUGCAAUGGCAUAAGCCAGCUUGACUGCGAGCGUGACGGCGCGAGCAGGUGCGAAAGCAGGUCAUAGUGAUCCGGUGGUUCUGAAUGGAAGGGCCAUCGCUCAACGGAUAAAAGGUACUCCGGGGAUAACAGGCUGAUACCGCCCAAGAGUUCAUAUCGACGGCGGUGUUUGGCACCUCGAUGUCGGCUCAUCACAUCCUGGGGCUGAAGUAGGUCCCAAGGGUAUGGCUGUUCGCCAUUUAAAGUGGUACGCGAGCUGGGUUUAGAACGUCGUGAGACAGUUCGGUCCCUAUCUGCCGUGGGCGCUGGAGAACUGAGGGGGGCUGCUCCUAGUACGAGAGGACCGGAGUGGACGCAUCACUGGUGUUCGGGUUGUCAUGCCAAUGGCACUGCCCGGUAGCUAAAUGCGGAAGAGAUAAGUGCUGAAAGCAUCUAAGCACGAAACUUGCCCCGAGAUGAGUUCUCCCUGACCCUUUAAGGGUCCUGAAGGAACGUUGAAGACGACGACGUUGAUAGGCCGGGUGUGUAAGCGCAGCGAUGCGUUGAGCUAACCGGUACUAAUGAACCGUGAGGCUUAACCUU
This 2898-nucleotide ribosomal RNA is filed under the name Escherichia coli. RNAcentral describes it as "23S ribosomal RNA". It matches the Rfam family "Bacterial large subunit ribosomal RNA". Lineage: Bacteria; Pseudomonadati; Pseudomonadota; Gammaproteobacteria; Enterobacterales; Enterobacteriaceae. The record is from RNAcentral.